RNAcentral lists this long non-coding RNA (234 nucleotides) under Elaeis guineensis (African oil palm). RNAcentral describes it as "long non-coding RNA (EGUI_LNC071343)". The record is from RNAcentral. Lineage: Eukaryota; Viridiplantae; Streptophyta; Magnoliopsida; Arecales; Arecaceae.
CUGUGGGCCUUUAUUUAUGGGCAAAGACUGAAGAGCCCUGAGAAGAAAGAAAAAUCAGGUGAUUAGCCUUGACUUAUUGGGCGAGAUAUGCCUAUUAUCUUCUUCCUUAUCUGUUCUGUGGUCAGCUGUCAUGUCAUGAUUAUUUAAAUUUAAAAAGAGAUACGGGAUUUUUAGAUCAGGUAGGGUUCGACAAGAGGACCUCAGAUCGACCGACGGUAUGGCUGGUAGGGGUGU